AUAAUAGUCACCUACAACCCCAUGUUUUUUACUGGAAUUGUGGCCAACUAAAUUUCCCCCAAAUGAAAGGUGGAAGAAGAUUUCAUUAUUAAUUGUUAUGAACUUAAUAAUAAACCAUUCAAGUGUAAGAACCUGCUUUUACCUUUCUAGUAGCCUUGUAAAAAGUCAAAUGAAUUAAAUGAGAUUUUUAAGGCCCUUUUGCAGUUGGUGCCUUAGUGAAAAAGACCAGUUCUAAACUAUGCACCUAAUUUGCAACCCUGCCAGAAAUUUCCCCUUCCAAGAUUAAGCCCGAGUUCCUGUUCAGUGUAAUGCUAACUUUUCCGGACAGAUCAAACUUCAAUUAGUUAUUGGAGAUCCAAUACCAGAAUGCACUAACAAUAAAAGUAUCAUGAGUUUGCCUGUGGACUAUCUCCUAAAAAAU
This 421-nucleotide unclassified non-coding RNA is filed under the name Hevea brasiliensis (rubber tree). The record is from RNAcentral. Lineage: Eukaryota; Viridiplantae; Streptophyta; Magnoliopsida; Malpighiales; Euphorbiaceae.